AAGCGGUGGAUUAUGUGGUUUAAUUCGAUGAUACGCGAGGAACCUUACCAAGGCUUAAAUGGGAAAUGACAGGUUUAGAAAUAGACUUUUCUUCGGACAUUUUUCAAGGUGCUGCAUGGUUGUCGUCAGCUCGUGCCGUGAGGUGUUAGGUUAAGUCCUGCAACGAGCGCAACCCCUGUCACUAGUUGCCAUCAUUAAGUUGGGGACUCUAGUGAGACUGCCUACGCAAGUAGAGAGGAAGGUGGGGAUGACGUCAAAUCAUCACGGCCCUUACGCCUUGGGCCACACACGUAAUACAAUGGCCGGUACAGAGGGCAGCUACACAGCGAUGUGAUGCAAAUCUCGAAAGCCGGUCUCAGUUCGGAUUGGAGUCUGCAACUCGACUCUAUGAAGCUGGAAUCGCUAGUAAUCGCGCAUCAGCCAUGGCGCGGUGAAUACGUUCCCGGGCCUUGUACACACCGCCCGUCAAGCCAUGGAAGUCUGGGGUACCUGAAGUCGGUGACCGUAACAGGAGCUGCCUAGGGUAAAACAGGUAACUAGGGCUAAGUCGUAACAA
Molecule: ribosomal RNA, 556 nt
Filed under: Chryseobacterium sp. ET-I17
Lineage: Bacteria; Pseudomonadati; Bacteroidota; Flavobacteriia; Flavobacteriales; Weeksellaceae
Description: bacterial SSU rRNA
Rfam family: Bacterial small subunit ribosomal RNA
Source: RNAcentral